This 253-nucleotide ribosomal RNA is filed under the name uncultured bacterium. RNAcentral describes it as "partial 16S ribosomal RNA". It matches the Rfam family "Bacterial small subunit ribosomal RNA", at positions 524 to 776 of the family's 1533-position model. The record is from RNAcentral.
UACGGAGGGUGCAAGCGUUAUCCGGAUUCACUGGGUUUAAAGGGUGCGUAGGGGGGCAAGUACGUCAGUGGUGAAAUCUCCGGGCUUAACCCGGAAACUGCCAUUGAUACUAUUUGUCUUGAAUACUGUGGAGGUCAGCGGAAUAUGUCAUGUAGCGGUGAAAUGCUUAGAUAUGACAUAGAACACCAAUUGCGAAGGCAGCUGGCUACACAAAUAUUGACACUGAGGCACGAAAGCGUGGGGAUCAAACAGG